RNAcentral lists this ribosomal RNA (465 nucleotides) under Vreelandella stevensii. RNAcentral's name for it is "partial 16S ribosomal RNA". It matches the Rfam family "Bacterial small subunit ribosomal RNA", at positions 338 to 795 of the family's 1533-position model. The record is from RNAcentral. Lineage: Bacteria; Pseudomonadati; Pseudomonadota; Gammaproteobacteria; Oceanospirillales; Halomonadaceae.
CCUACGGGAGGCAGCAGUGGGGAAUAUUGGACAAUGGGGGCAACCCUGAUCCAGCCAUGCCGCGUGUGUGAAGAAGGCCCUCGGGUUGUAAAGCACUUUCAGUGAGGAAGAACGCCUGGUGGUUAAUACCCAUCAGGAAAGACAUCACUCACAGAAGAAGCACCGGCUAACUCCGUGCCAGCAGCCGCGGUAAUACGGAGGGUGCGAGCGUUAAUCGGAAUUACUGGGCGUAAAGCGCGCGUAGGUGGCUUGAUAAGCCGGUUGUGAAAGCCCCGGGCUCAACCUGGGAACGGCAUCCGGAACUGUCAAGCUAGAGAGCAGGAGAGGAAGGUAGAAUUCCCGGUGUAGCGGUGAAAUGCGUAGAGAUCGGGAGGAAUACCAGUGGCGAAGGCGGCCUUCUGGACUGACACUGACACUGAGGUGCGAAAGCGUGGGUAGCAAACAGGAUUAGAUACCCUAGUAGUC